This 460-nucleotide ribosomal RNA is filed under the name uncultured bacterium. RNAcentral's name for it is "partial 16S ribosomal RNA". It matches the Rfam family "Bacterial small subunit ribosomal RNA", at positions 338 to 795 of the family's 1533-position model. The record is from RNAcentral.
CCUACGGGAGGCAGCAGUGAGGAAUAUUGGUCAAUGGACGGAAGUCUGAACCAGCCAUGCCGCGUGUAGGAAGACGGCUCUAUGAGUUGUAAACUGCUUUUGUACAAGGGUAAACCUGAAUACGUGUAUUCAGCUGAAAGUACUGUACGAAUAAGGAUCGGCUAACUCCGUGCCAGCAGCCGCGGUAAUACGGAGGAUCCAAGCGUUAUCCGGAUUUAUUGGGUUUAAAGGGUGCGUAGGCGGAUUGAUAAGUUAGAGGUGAAAUGUCCGAGCUUAACUCGGGAACUGCCUCUAAUACUGUUGAUCUAGAGAGUAGAUGCGGUAGGCGGAAUGUAUGGUGUAGCGGGGAAAUGCUUAGAGAUCAUACAGAACACCGAUUGCGAAGGCAGCUUACCAAUCUAUAUCUGACGUUGAGGCACGAAAGCGUGGGGAGCAAACAGGAUUAGAUACCCGGGUAGUC